UGGUGGGGUAAGGGCCUUACCAGGGCGACGAUGGGUAAGCUGGUCUGAGAGGAUGAUCAGCCACACUGGGACUGCGACACGGCCCAGACUCCUACGGGAGGCAGCAGUGGGGAAUUUUGCGCAAUGGGCGCAAGCCUGACGCAGCAACGCCGCGUGCAUGACGACGCCUUUCGAGGUGUAAAGUGCUGUCGACCGGGACGAACGGGCGAUGGUGACCAGCUUUCGCGCAUGACGGUACCGGUGGAGGAAGCCCCGGCUAACUCCGUGCCAGCAGCCGCGGUAAGACGGAGGGGGCGAGCGUUGUUCGGAAUUACUGGGCGUAAAGCGCGCGUAGGCGGUGCAGCAAGUGGUGCGUGAAAGCCCUCUGCUUAACCGGGGACGGGCGUGCCAAACUGUUGGACUGGAGUGCCGGAAGGGGACGGCGGAAUUCCUGGGUGGAGCGGUGAAAUGCGUAGAAGAUCAGGAGGAACGUUCGGUGGCAAAGGCGGGCUCCUGGACGGAACACUGGCGCUGAGGUGCGACAGCUUGGGGGAGCGAACGGGGAUUAGAUACCCCGGUAGUCCACGCCGUAAACGAUUGGGUACUAGGUGUGGGGCUUGUGAUGAGGCCCGUGCCGGAGCUAACGCAGUAAGUACCCCGCCUGGGGAGUACGGUCGGCAAGGCUGAAACUCAAAGGAAUUGGCGGGGGCCCGCACAAGCGGUGGAGCAUGUGGUNUAAUUCGACGCAACGCGCAGAACCUUACCCAGGUUUGACAUGCACCGGCACAGCGAGGAGAGUCGCUGGCCCGUUUCGGGACGGUGCACAGGUGCUUGCGUGGCUGUCGUCAGCUCGUGUCGUGAGAUGUUGGGUUAAGUCCCGCAACGAGCGCA
This 870-nucleotide ribosomal RNA is filed under the name uncultured organism. RNAcentral describes it as "bacterial SSU rRNA". It matches the Rfam family "Bacterial small subunit ribosomal RNA", at positions 250 to 1100 of the family's 1533-position model. The record is from RNAcentral.